Molecule: ribosomal RNA, 432 nt
Filed under: uncultured bacterium
Lineage: Bacteria
Description: partial 16S ribosomal RNA
Rfam family: Bacterial small subunit ribosomal RNA
Source: RNAcentral
AACGAACGCUGGCGGCAUGCCUAACACAUGCAAGUCGAACGAGACCUUCGGGUCUAGUGGCGCACGGGUGCGUAACGCGUGGGAACCUGCCCUUAGGUUCGGAAUAACUCCCCGAAAGGGGUGCUAAUACCAGAUAAUGUCUUCGGACCAAAGAUUUAUCGCCUUUGGAUGGGCCCGCGUUGGAUUAGCUAGUUGGUAGGGUAAAAGCCUACCAAGGCGACGAUCCAUAGCUGGUCUGAGAGGAUGAUCAGCCACACUGGGACUGAGACACGGCCCAGACUCCUACGGGAGGCAGCAGUGGGGAAUAUUGGACAAUGGGCGAAAGCCUGAUCCAGCAAUGCCGCGUGAGUGAUGAAGGCCUUAGGGUUGUAAAGCUCUUUUACCCGGGAUGAUAAGGACAGUACCGGGAGAAUAAGCUCCGGCUAACUCCGU